Molecule: long non-coding RNA, 835 nt
Filed under: Limulus polyphemus (Atlantic horseshoe crab)
Lineage: Eukaryota; Metazoa; Arthropoda; Merostomata; Xiphosura; Limulidae
Description: uncharacterized LOC111085465, transcript variant X1
Source: RNAcentral
AGAAUAAAUAAAUAAUAUUUUUUCUCAACUACGUCAUAAAAAGUUUUUAACUUGUCAGAUAUACUGGUUAAAUUCAUUUCGAAAAAUAUAUAGAGCGGAUGUAAUAAAAUCUACGUGAGUAUUUCACAAAAAGCUUCAAACCUUGAAGCUUUUUGAUUGAGCGGAACUUUCAGUGAGUAAUAGCAUAACAGAUGGUGUUUAGAUGAAAGAAGUGCUACUGGCAUCUAGAAACAUUAGACGUGAUGCGUGGAGAAAAAGUUCAAGACCAGAACAUCUUGAUGUACUUUACUGAGUAAAUCAUGAUCAAUUGAGGAAGGUGGGUUUAUUUAUUUGUUGUUAAGCACAAAGCUAUACAGUAAGCUAUCUGUGCUGUGACAGAUGUCGAAACCCAAAUUUUAUCAUUAUAAGCUCUCAGACUAGCCACUGAACCACCUGAGCACUUCAGGUGCAUAUAUAAGGUUAUCCUUUGAAGGAAACAAAGGCCUGGUUUGUUCCUUAUCUUGAAGAGGGAUGAAAUUACCAAUAUUUGAUGGCAUUUGGGGCGAUACUUAUCAACUGGUUUGCAAGUGCGCACAGCAUGCAGAGUUUUAACUGCUAUUCAAUGGUGGACAUCUGGAGCAAACACGUGAGAAAGAGCACAGAUGGUUCGUGUUUACUUCAAGGUCUACGCUUAAGAGCUUACUUUUGACAACAGAAGACUUCCUACAAAGGGCAAAGUAGUCAUCUGGUUCACUGUGUCACUGUCAAGCGAAGAGGAUUGUGUUGCUGCUCCGGACCUUGUUGGCCUGAGAAAACUACUGUGGUUUCACCAUUUAGGUUUCGUCCCAUUUCUUCC